Drosophila subobscura is the source of this 453-nucleotide long non-coding RNA. RefSeq lists it as uncharacterized. Lineage: Eukaryota; Metazoa; Arthropoda; Insecta; Diptera; Drosophilidae. The transcript has 3 exons. The record is from RefSeq and is a predicted model, not a curated record.
GAGUGUUUUUUUUACGCGGUGAAAUCAAGAGGCGACAAUGUCCGGCAAACUUUUAUUAAUCCAUGGCUUCGACCUGCUUCCCAUAGGGGCCAAUAUUUCCCAUGGCGCUGCGAAUAUCCGAGAUAUUGAAUCGUCUCUACGACUUCCACAAGAACCGCGACACCCUUCAGAAUAAUCCGUAAACACGAGUACAGGGCUGUCAAGGCACCGGUUAAGUGAUGGCUGCAAGAAGCAGCACGUCCACAUCACUUGUUGCUGCGCCCGACACGGCACUCCACUGCAAAACUUUUCCCAUUCUGGUUCUACAUCUCCGACGCCACAGAUGCACCUGCAGCAAGAGAAUAUUGGUACAACCACUGGCAAAGAGUAUACCAACUGUAAGGAAUUCCUGUGCUAAUGGAGGCCAACAAUCCGUCGCCCUUUGAACCAUUCUUAGUGGCGGCUGCACAUGCC